Molecule: small RNA, 71 nt
Filed under: Salix viminalis (osier)
Lineage: Eukaryota; Viridiplantae; Streptophyta; Magnoliopsida; Malpighiales; Salicaceae
Source: RNAcentral
GUGGUUUGAUGGAUGUCAAGUUCAACUCAUCAUUUUUAGAAGGAGCAUUGGAACUUCCUUCACUUACCAUU